This 691-nucleotide ribosomal RNA is filed under the name uncultured bacterium. Its description in RNAcentral is "bacterial SSU rRNA". It matches the Rfam family "Bacterial small subunit ribosomal RNA", at positions 98 to 775 of the family's 1533-position model. The record is from RNAcentral.
GCGGAUGGGUGAGUAACACGUGGGUAACCUGCCCUAAAGUCUGGGAUACCACUUGGAAACAGGUGCUAAUACCGGAUAACAACAAUAGCUGCAUGGCUAUUGCUUAAAAGGCGGCGAAAGCUGUCGCUAAAGGAUGGACCCGCGGUGCAUUAGCUAGUUGGUAAGGUAAUGGCUUACCAAGGCGACGAUGCAUAGCCGAGUUGAGAGACUGAUCGGCCACAUUGGGACUGAGACACGGCCCAAACUCCUACGGGAGGCAGCAGUAGGGAAUCUUCCACAAUGGGCGAAAGCCUGAUGGAGCAACGCCGCGUGAGUGAAGAAGGUUUUCGGAUCGUAAAGCUCUGUUGUUGGUGAAGAAGGAUAGAGGUAGUAACUGGCCCCUAUUUGACGGUAAUCAACCAGAAAGUCACGGCUAACUACGUGCCAGCAGCCGCGGUAAUACGUAGGUGGCAAGCGUUGUCCGGAUUUAUUGGGCGUAAAGCGAGCGCAGGCGGAAAGAUAAGUCUGAUGUGAAAGCCCCCGGCUUAACCGAGGAAUUGCAUCGGAAACUGUGUUUCUUGAGUGCAGAAGAGGAGAGUGGAACUCCAUGUGUAGCGGUGGAAUGCGUAGAUAUAUGGAAGAACACCAGUGGCGAAGGCGGCUCUCUGGUCUGUAACUGACGCUGAGGCUCGAAAGCAUGGGUAGCGAACAG